GGUGGUUCUUGGGUGACAUACCCUGAAAUUGGGCUCCCUCCUCUCUGGUUUUGGGGUGUGUCACCCGAGAAUCGCA
This is a non-coding RNA of Myotis brandtii (Brandt's bat), 76 nucleotides long. Lineage: Eukaryota; Metazoa; Chordata; Mammalia; Chiroptera; Vespertilionidae. The record is from Rfam.